RNAcentral lists this ribosomal RNA (856 nucleotides) under uncultured archaeon. Its description in RNAcentral is "bacterial SSU rRNA". It matches the Rfam family "Archaeal small subunit ribosomal RNA", at positions 1 to 864 of the family's 1478-position model. The record is from RNAcentral.
UUCCGGUUGAUCCCGCCGGACCUGACUGCUAUCGGAUUGAUACUAAGCCAUGCGAGUCAUUGUAGCAAUACAAGGCAGACGGCUCAGUAACGCGUAGUCAAUCUACCCUAUGGACGGGAAUAACCUCGGGAAACUGAGAAUAAUGCCCGAUAGAACAUUAUGCCUGGAAUGGUUUAUGUUUCAAAUGAUUUAUCGCCAUAGGAUGGGACUGCGGCCUAUCAGUUUGUUGGUGAGGUAAUGGCCCACCAAGACUAUUACAGGUACGGGCUCUGAGAGGAGUAGCCCGGAGAUGGGUACUGAGACACGGACCCAGGCCCUAUGGGGCGCAGCAGGCGAGAAAACUUUGCAAUGUGCGAAAGCACGACAAGGUUAAUCCGAGUGGUUUCUGCUAAAGAAACCUUUUGUCAGUCCUAGAAACACUAACGAAUAAGGGGUGGGCAAGUUCUGGUGUCAGCCGCCGCGGUAAAACCAGCACCUCAAGUGGUCAGGAUGAUUAUUGGGCCUAAAGCAUCCGUAGCUCGUUUUGUAAGUUUUCGGUUAAAUCCAUGCGCUUAACGUAUGGGCUGCCGGGAAUACUGCAUAACUAGGAAGUGGGAGAGGUAGACGGUACUCGGGAGGAAGGGGUAAAAUCCUUUGAUCUCUUGAUGACCACCUGUGGCGAAGGCGGUCUACCAGAACACGUUCGACGGUGAGGGAUGAAAGCUGGGGGAGCAAACCGGAUUAGAUACCCGGGUAGUCCCAGCUGUAAACUAUGCAAACUCAGUGAUGCAUUGGCUUAUGGCCAAUGCAGUGCUGCAGGGAAGCCGUUAAGUUUGCCGCCUGGGAAGUACGUACGCAAGUAUGAAACUUAAAGGAA